RNAcentral lists this ribosomal RNA (2064 nucleotides) under seawater metagenome. RNAcentral's name for it is "bacterial LSU rRNA". It matches the Rfam family "Bacterial large subunit ribosomal RNA", at positions 444 to 2611 of the family's 2925-position model. The record is from RNAcentral.
AUAGGGGGACCACCCUCUAAGCCUAAAUACUCUUCAGUGACCGAUAGUGAACUAGUACCGUGAGGGAAAGGUGAAAAGAACCCCUAUUAGGGGAGUGAAAUAGAACCUGAAACUGCAUGCCUACAAUCAGUCCGAGCCCUUUUUAGGGUGAGGGCGUACCUUUUGUAUAAUGGGUCAGUGACUUAAUUUAUUAAGCAAGCUUAAGCCAUCUAGGUGUAGGCGCAGCGAAAGCAAGUCUUAAUAGGGCGAUUAGUUUAAUGAAUUAGACCCGAAAACGAAUGAGCUUACCAUGAGCAGGUUGAAAGUUGGGUAACACCAACCGGAGGACCGAACCAGUUGACGUUGAAAAGUCUUUGGAUGACUUGUGGUAAGGGGUGAAAGGCCAACCAAAUUCGUAGAUAGCUGGUUUUCCGCGAAAACUAUUUAGGUAGUGCGUCGAAUAAAUAGAUGUUUAGAGGUAGAGCACUAAAUGGGCUAGGGGGAAGAGAUUCUUACCAAACCUAAUAAAACUCCGAAUGCUAGACAUUGUUCUUCGGCAGACAGACUGUGGGUGCUAAGGUCCAUGGUCGAGAGGGAAAGAGCCCAGACCACCAGAUAAGGUCCCAAAAUCAUGAUUAAGUGUGAAAGGAUGUGGAAAUUCCUUAACAGCCGGGAGGUUGGCUUAGAAGCAGCCAUCCUUUAAAGAUAGCGUAACAGCUCACCGGUCUAAUAGAGUUUCUGCGCCGAAGAUGUAACGGGGCUAAAAUCAUGUACCGAAUCUGUGGCUUUGCAAAGUUUUCGAACUUUGUAAGGGGUAGCGGAACGUUCUGUAAGCCUGCGAAGGGAUACCCGUGAGGGAUCCUGGAGGUAUCAGAAGUGCGAAUGCUGACAUAAGUAACGAUAAACGAAGUGAAAAACUUCGUCGCCGAAAAUCUAAGGGUUUCUAUGCAAGGUUAAUCCGCGUAGAGUUAGUCGGCACCUAAGGCGAGGGCGAAAGCCGUAGUCGAUGGAAACAAGGUUAAUAUUCCUUGACCUGAUGGUAGUGACGGAUUUCGUAAGUUGUGAGUUCUUAAUGGAUUGAACUUGCCGCGAAGAGGUCCCAAGAAAUAGCUCCAUCAUGAAGACCGUACCCGAAACCGACACAGGUAGAUUAAUAGAGUAUAUUUAGGCGCUUGAGAGAAUGAUGUUGAAGGAACUCGGCAAAAUGCUUCCGUAACUUCGGGAUAAGGAAGACCCUUUUGUAGGCAACUAUGGAAGGGUGGCACAAGCCAGGGAGAAGCGACUGUUUAUCAAAAACACAGGGCUCUGCUAACACGUAAGUGGAUGUAUAGGGUCUGACGCCUGCCCGGUGCUGGAAGGUUAAUGCGGUUGGUGCAAGCUAACUUCUGAAGCCCCAGUAAACGGCGGCCGUAACUAUAACGGUCCUAAGGUAGCGAAAUUCCUUGUCGGGUAAGUUCCGACCUGCAUGAAUGGCGUAACGAUUUCUCCGCUGUCUCCAACAUCAACUCAGUGAAAUUGAAUUCUCCGUGAAGAUGCGGAGUUCGCGUAGUUAGACGGAAAGACCCCGUGCACCUUUACUGCAACUUUACAUUGGUGUUAGGAAAAACAUAUUUAGCAUAGGAGGGAGACUUUGAAGCAAAGGCGUCAGCUUUUGUGGAGUCACCAGUGAAAUACCUCUUUUGUUUUUCUUGACAUCUAACCGCUAGCCGUCAUCCGGCAGCGAGACAUUGUAUGGUGGGUAGUUUGACUGGGGCGGUCGCCUCCCAAAUAGUAACGGAGGCGUGCGAAGGUAGGCUCAGAACGGUCAGAAAUCGUUCGUAGAGUGCAAUGGCAUAAGCCUGCCUGACUGUGAGACUGACAAGUCGAGCAGAGACGAAAGUCGGUCAUAGUGAUCCGGUGCUUCUGAGUGGAAGGGGCAUCGCUCAACGGAUAAAAGGUACGCCGGGGAUAACAGGCUGAUACUGCCCAAGAGCUCAUAUCGACGGCAGUGUUUGGCACCUCGAUGUCGGCUCAUCACAUCCUGGGGCUGGAGCAGGUCCCAAGGGUUUGGCUGUUCGCCAAUUAAAGUGGUACGUGAGCUGGGUU